UCCAGGGUAGCUUAGUGGAAAUGGCAUCUGCCCCUUAAGCGGAACAUUGUGGGUUCGAUUCCCAUUCCUGGAC
RNAcentral lists this transfer RNA (73 nucleotides) under Cordylochernes scorpioides. RNAcentral describes it as "tRNA-Lys". It matches the Rfam family "tRNA". From Rfam's summary of the family: Transfer RNA (tRNA) molecules are approximately 80 nucleotides in length. Their secondary structure includes four short double-helical elements and three loops (D, anti-codon, and T loops). Further hydrogen bonds mediate the characteristic L-shaped molecular structure. tRNAs have two regions of fundamental functional importance: the anti-codon, which is responsible for specific mRNA codon recognition, and the 3' end, to which the tRNAs corresponding amino acid is attached (by aminoacyl-tRNA synthetases). tRNAs cope with the degeneracy of the genetic code in two manners: having more than one tRNA (with a specific anti-codon) for a particular amino acid; and 'wobble' base-pairing, i.e. permitting non-standard base-pairing at the 3rd anti-codon position. The record is from RNAcentral. Lineage: Eukaryota; Metazoa; Arthropoda; Arachnida; Pseudoscorpiones; Chernetidae.